RNAcentral lists this ribosomal RNA (931 nucleotides) under Microbacteriaceae bacterium S3. RNAcentral describes it as "bacterial SSU rRNA". It matches the Rfam family "Bacterial small subunit ribosomal RNA", at positions 555 to 1483 of the family's 1533-position model. The record is from RNAcentral. Lineage: Bacteria; Bacillati; Actinomycetota; Actinomycetes; Micrococcales; Microbacteriaceae.
UGGGCGUAAGAGCUCGUAGGCGGUUUGUCGCGUCUGCUGUGAAAUCCCGAGGCUCAACUUCGGGUCUGCAGUGGGUACGGGCAGACUAGAGUGCGGUAGGGGAGAUUGGAAUUCCUGGUGUAGCGGUGGAAUGCGCAGAUAUCAGGAGGAACACCGAUGGCGAAGGCAGAUCUCUGGGCCGUAACUGACGCUGAGGAGCGAAAGGGUGGGGAGCAAACAGGCUUAGAUACCCUGGUAGUCCACCCCGUAAACGUUGGGAACUAGUUGUGGGGUCCAUUCCACGGAUUCCGUGACGCAGCUAACGCAUUAAGUUCCCCGCCUGGGGAGUACGGCCGCAAGGCUAAAACUCAAAGGAAUUGACGGGGACCCGCACAAGCGGCGGAGCAUGCGGAUUAAUUCGAUGCAACGCGAAGAACCUUACCAAGGCUUGACAUAUACGAGAACGCUGCAGAAAUGUAGAACUCUUUGGACACUCGUAAACAGGUGGUGCAUGGUUGUCGUCAGCUCGUGUCGUGAGAUGUUGGGUUAAGUCCCGCAACGAGCGCAACCCUCGUUCUAUGUUGCCAGCACGUAAUGGUGGGAACUCAUGGGAUACUGCCGGGGUCAACUCGGAGGAAGGUGGGGAUGACGUCAAAUCAUCAUGCCCCUUAUGUCUUGGGCUUCACGCAUGCUACAAUGGCCGGUACAAAGGGCUGCAAUACCGUGAGGUGGAGCGAAUCCCAAAAAGCCGGUCCCAGUUCGGAUUGAGGUCUGCAACUCGACCUCAUGAAGUCGGAGUCGCUAGUAAUCGCAGAUCAGCAACGCUGCGGUGAAUACGUUCCCGGGUCUUGUACACACCGCCCGUCAAGUCAUGAAAGUCGGUAACACCUGAAGCCGGUGGCCCAACCCUUGUGGAGGGAGCCGUCGAAGGUGGGAUCGGUAAUUAGGACUA